Thalassophryne amazonica is the source of this 91-nucleotide long non-coding RNA. RefSeq lists it as uncharacterized. The record is from RefSeq and is a predicted model, not a curated record. The transcript has 3 exons. Lineage: Eukaryota; Metazoa; Chordata; Actinopteri; Batrachoidiformes; Batrachoididae.
AAUAUCAUUGUAAACAAUGCUAUCAGCGCACCCUCUGCUGGACAAACCAUGUAAUGACAGCAUUUCCAACAACCAAAGUGCUUUUCUGCAU